GGGGCGGUAACAUGUCCAGUGCAUUUCUAUAGAAAGAUAAUCUGGACAGCAGAGUGUAAUAUAGACUGAAGCAGGGAGAUAAAGGAGGAUGGGAAAGAAGGGUUGGCAUGGGUCCAUGGGCUUAGUGUCUCUGCAAAGCAGGAUUCAACUGUCUUCUUUCUUUCCACAGAAAAUCACCACAGAGAAUCUUGGGAAGAAAGGCCAUGAGGGAGUGAUGACAAGGAAUGAUCCUUCUGGACUUUCAAAGGGAUAUUUAUUCCUGGGAUCCAGCACUGAUCUGGGGAAAAGAAAUUAAAUAACUUUUGACCGACAUGGAGACAAGAAACAAGACCAUCAUCUCUUCCCCGUCCUGAUAUGCGUGUCCCACACCACAGCCAGGCUCCGAGAUGCCCCCAGGUGAGCAGCCCCAGGAUGACCAGACACCCGACAUCACCAUCCCCGCAGAAGCCACUGAGCCACGGAAAGGUGGCCGCCCGCCACCCCUUCCCCUCCCCCCCCGCCCCAGAGGCCACCAACAGAGGCCGGGCCUUCUUCCGAGCAACUCUGGGUGGCCUCCGCUCUCAGCGUCCGUCCCACCGGCCGGGGUGUGGCCGGCCCUCCCGUCUUCAUCAUUCGAUCCACAGUAUUUAUCCAGCACUAACCUCGGGCGGAGCCCUGUACUAAGCUCUCAGGAGAGUCCGAUCCCACAGAAUUAGCAGACCGGUUCCCUGCCCAUAGAGAGCUAACAGUCUAUAAGAGGAGGGAGCUAGACAUUAAUAGGAAUAAAGAAUGGGUGGAGAUGUUGCCUGCCCAUGUAACGAGCUUUAUUGUGCAAAUGGGCCCAAGGACCUAGACCUGCCCCGCCCCCCUCCUCCAAACCGUUGCUCUUUGGUGGUCUUCCCUAUCCAGACUCAGGGGGGUAUGAAUGACAAGGAUGAUGAAAACUGUUCAUUCAUUCCUUCAUUCAUUCAACUGUAUUUAUCGAGUGUUUUCUGUGGGCUGAGCACUAAGUGCUGGGGAGAGUACCACACAGCCGUAUAACAGACACUUUCCCUGCCCACCACGAGCUCACAGUCCUGAGGGGGAGGCAGACGUUAAUAUGGAUAAAUAAACGAAUGCAUUAUAGCUCCUUGACCCGUGUUAAGUGCCAAAAGCGGGGCUAGAUGUCAGAUGAUCCGGUUGGACACGGCCCCCACCCCGCAUGGGACUUCCGAUCUGGCGGGGAGGUCUUGCCGGUCGUGGGCGGGGAAUGUAUCUGUCU
Molecule: long non-coding RNA, 1240 nt
Filed under: Ornithorhynchus anatinus (platypus)
Lineage: Eukaryota; Metazoa; Chordata; Mammalia; Monotremata; Ornithorhynchidae
Description: lncRNA (ENSOANG00000048837.1)
Source: RNAcentral